GUGCAAAAAUAAAUCCUCUUUUGCAACCCAGAACUCAUUGUUCUGUAUGAGAUUUUUAUAGAUUAGAAGGAACAUG
RNAcentral lists this small nucleolar RNA (76 nucleotides) under Capra hircus (goat). RNAcentral's name for it is "Small nucleolar RNA SNORA40 (ENSCHIG00010012479.1)". It matches the Rfam family "Small nucleolar RNA SNORA40", at positions 51 to 128 of the family's 128-position model. From Rfam's summary of the family: The snoRNA ACA 40 belongs to the H/ACA family of snoRNAs and guides the pseudouridylation of 28S rRNA subunit at position U4565. NB This family has a high threshold value to exclude a large number of closely related sequences that do not appear to have conserved H and ACA boxes, and may be pseudogenes. The record is from RNAcentral. Lineage: Eukaryota; Metazoa; Chordata; Mammalia; Artiodactyla; Bovidae.